RNAcentral lists this ribosomal RNA (379 nucleotides) under uncultured bacterium. RNAcentral's name for it is "bacterial SSU rRNA". It matches the Rfam family "Archaeal small subunit ribosomal RNA", at positions 339 to 718 of the family's 1478-position model. The record is from RNAcentral.
GCGCGAAACCUCCGCAAUGCGAGCAAUCGCGACGGGGGGACCCCAAGUGCUACUCUUAACGGGGUAGCUUUUCUAAAGUGUAAAAAGCUUCAGGAAUAAGGGCUGGGCAAGACCGGUGCCAGCCGCCGCGGUAACACCGGCAGCUCAAGUGGUGGCCGCUUUUAUUGGGCCUAAAGCGUUCGUAGCCGGCCUGAUAAGUCUCUGGUGAAAUCCCGCAGCUUAACUGUGGGAAUUGCUGGAGAUACUAUCAGGCUUGAGGCCGGGAGAGGCUGGAGGAACUCCCAGGGUAGGGGUGAAAUCCUAUAAUCCUGGGAGGACCACCUGUGGCGAAGGCGUCCAGCUGGAACGGACCUGACGGUGAGUAACGAAAGCCAGGGGC